RNAcentral lists this transfer RNA (64 nucleotides) under Cavia porcellus (domestic guinea pig). It matches the Rfam family "tRNA", at positions 1 to 62 of the family's 71-position model. From Rfam's summary of the family: Transfer RNA (tRNA) molecules are approximately 80 nucleotides in length. The record is from Rfam by way of RNAcentral. Lineage: Eukaryota; Metazoa; Chordata; Mammalia; Rodentia; Caviidae.
GGAGAUUUAGCUCAGUGACGUAAGCACCUGCCUUGCAAGCAGGUGGUCGUGAGUUCAAUCCCCG